This 221-nucleotide ribosomal RNA is filed under the name uncultured bacterium. RNAcentral describes it as "partial 16S ribosomal RNA". It matches the Rfam family "Bacterial small subunit ribosomal RNA", at positions 129 to 334 of the family's 1533-position model. The record is from RNAcentral.
CCUUCGAGUUCGGGACAACUGGCUGAAAAGCCAGCUAAUACCGGAUAAGACCUCGGCCUCUUCGGAGGCUGCGGCCAAAGACGGCCUCUUCUUGAAAGCCGUUGCUUGGAGAUGGGCCUGCGGACCAUUAGCUUGUUGGUGAGGUAACGGCUCACCAAGGCUAUGAUGGAUAGCUGGUCUGAGAGGAUGAUCAGCCACACUGGGACUGAGACACGGCCCAG